RNAcentral lists this ribosomal RNA (584 nucleotides) under uncultured bacterium. RNAcentral's name for it is "partial 16S ribosomal RNA". It matches the Rfam family "Bacterial small subunit ribosomal RNA", at positions 355 to 1375 of the family's 1533-position model. The record is from RNAcentral.
UGGGGAAUUUUGGACAAUGGGCGAAAGCCUGAUCCAGCAAUGCCGCGUGUGUGAAGAAGGCCUUCGGGUUGUAAAGCACUUUUGUCCGGAAAGAAAUCCUUGGCUCUAAUACAGUCGGGGGAUGACGGUACCGGAAGAAUAAGCACCGGCUAACUACGUGCCAGCAGCCGCGGUAAUACGUAGGGUGCAAGCGUUAAUCGGAAUUACUGGGCGUAAAGCGUGCGCAGGCGGUUUGCUAAGACCGAUGUGAAAUCCCCGGGCUCAACCUGGGAACUGCAUUGGUGACUGGCAGGCUAGAGUAUGGCAGAGGGGGGUAGAAUUCCACGUGUAGCAGUGAAAUGCGUAGAGAUGUGGAGGGAUACCGAUGGCGAAGGCAGCCCCCUGGGCCAAUACUGACGCUCAUGCACGAAAGCGUGGGGAGCAAACAGGAUUAGAUACCCUGGUAGUCCACGCCCUAAACGAUGUCAACUAGUUGUUGGGGAUUCAUUCCUUAGUAACGUAGCUAACGCGUGAAGUUGACCGCCUGGGGAGUACGGUCGCAAGAUUAAAACUCAAAUGAAUUGACGGGGUCAUAGCUGUUUCCU